RNAcentral lists this long non-coding RNA (798 nucleotides) under Salmo salar (Atlantic salmon). RNAcentral describes it as "lncRNA (ENSSSAG00000107459.1)". Lineage: Eukaryota; Metazoa; Chordata; Actinopteri; Salmoniformes; Salmonidae. The record is from RNAcentral.
AUGUGGUGUAGUACAGGUGUAACCUGUCCGUACAGUAACUCAGUCAUGUGGUGUAGUACAGGUGUAACCUGUCCGUACAGUAACUCAGUCAUGUGGUGUAGUACAGGUGUAACCUGUCUGUACAGUAACUCAGUCAUGUGGUGUAGUACAGGUGUAACCUGUCCGUACAGUAACUCAGUCAUGUGGUGUAGUACAGGUGUAACCUGUCCAUACAGUAACUCAGUCAUGUGGUGUAGUACAGGUGUAACCUGUCCGUACAGUAACUCAGUCAUGUGGUGUAGUACAGGUGUAACCUGUCCGUACAGUAACUCAGUCAUGUGGUGUAGUACAGGUGUUACCUGUCCGUACAGUAACUCAGUCAUCUGGUGUAGUACAGGUGUAACCUGUCCGUACAGUAACUCAGUCAUGUGGCGUAGUACAGGUGUAACCUGUCAGUAACUCAGUCAUGUGGUGUAGUACAGGUGUAACCUGUCCGUACAGUAACUCAGUCAUGUGGUGUAGUACAGGUUUAACCUGUCCGUACAGUAACUCAGUCAUGUGGUGUAGUACAGGUGUAACCUGUCCGUACAGUAACUCAGUCAUGUGGUGUAGUACAGGUGUAACCUGUCCGUACAGUAACUCAGUCAUGUGGUGUAGUACAGGUGUAACCUGUCCAUACAGUAACUCAGUCAUGUGGUGUAGUACAGGUGUAACCUUUCAGUAACUCAGUCAUGUGGUGUAGUACAGGUGUUACCUGUCCGUACAGUAACUCAGUCAUGUGGUGUAGUACAGGUGUAACCUGUCCGUACAGUAACUCAG